This 468-nucleotide ribosomal RNA is filed under the name uncultured bacterium. Its description in RNAcentral is "partial 16S ribosomal RNA". It matches the Rfam family "Bacterial small subunit ribosomal RNA", at positions 28 to 507 of the family's 1533-position model. The record is from RNAcentral.
GACGAACGCUGGCGGCGUGCUUAACACAUGCAAGUCGAACGGAAAGGCCCUGCUUUUGUGGGGUGCUCGAGUGGCGAACGGGUGAGUAACACGUGAGUAACCUGCCCUUGACUUUGGGAUAACUUCAGGAAACUGGGGCUAAUACCGGAUAGGAGCUCCUGCUGCAUGGUGGGGGUUGGAAAGUUUCGGCGGUUGGGGAUGGACUCGCGGCUUAUCAGCUUGUUGGUGGGGUAGUGGCUUACCAAGGCUUUGACGGGUAGCCGGCCUGAGAGGGUGACCGGGCACAUUGGGACGGAGAUGCGGGCGAGGGGGCUGCGGGAGGCGGGGGUGGGGAAUAUUGCACAAUGGGCGGAAGCCUGAUGCAGCAACGCCGCGUGCGGGAUGACGGCCUUCGGGUUGUAAACCGCUUUCGCCUGUGACGAAGCGUGAGUGACGGUAAUGGGUAAAGAAGCACCGGCUAACUACGUG